GGCCCAGGCGCUUGUUGACCAGGGUCAGCACCUGCUCGGUGAUGGACGCCACCUUCAUGCGCACCUCGGCCGCAGGGUCCUGAAGGAGGAACACGGGAAGCAUACGAUUUGUACUCAUCAAAAGCGAUAAAGGUGAAACCUGCUCAACAAACAAGAGUUGCCUCGAGUCAACCUUCAGUCAAUCACCAUGACUCGGAUGAAUGAGAAUCUAAAGGAUCCUUACCACAACAUCUUGAAUGUGCUGCUCCACCAGGUUGUUCUUGGUGGCGACCAGCACGGGGCGGCCGAAGGUAUCAAGGUACGUGUAGUGCAGUUCGUUUGGCAU
Syngnathus acus (greater pipefish) is the source of this 325-nucleotide long non-coding RNA. RefSeq lists it as uncharacterized. Lineage: Eukaryota; Metazoa; Chordata; Actinopteri; Syngnathiformes; Syngnathidae. The record is from RefSeq and is a predicted model, not a curated record. The transcript is spliced from 2 exons.